UGCGUUGUGUCGUGCCGCGUAGCGCGUGCCUCAAGAAAUCAAAGGCGAUUUGUACGGAAUCAUGGCGGCAGGAAAUUGGCAUGUUAUUUUAGUUGCGGUCGUUGUCGCGAACUUUGGCUGAUUGGCUAAGCUACAAGCUGGUGAAUAAGUAAUUGCUACGACAUUACAGCUUAGCACCGCACCCGUGAUAAAGCUGACGGCUGACUGCGCAUGUGUGCCCGCAGACCUUAACUAUCGCCAGCCAGCAAAGACACUCAAUCCAACGUUGGGUAGGCCAUCUCAUAAAAGUCUGAAGGGCAGACUCGAGUCUCAAUUGCUGUUACCUUGAAAUUUGGCG
Molecule: long non-coding RNA, 337 nt
Organism: Bactrocera tryoni
Lineage: Eukaryota; Metazoa; Arthropoda; Insecta; Diptera; Tephritidae
Exons: 3
Source: RefSeq, a predicted model, not a curated record